GAUGAACGCUGGCGGCGUGCCUAAUACAUGCAAGUCGAGCGAACAGACGAGGAGCUUGCUCCUUCGACGUUAGCGGCGGACGGGUGAGUAACACGUAGGUCACCUACCUAUCAGACUGGGAUAACUUCGGGAAACCGGCGCUAAUACCGGAUAAUAUUUCGAACCGCAUGGUUCGAUAGUGAAAGAUGGCUUUGCUAUCACUUAUAGAUGGACCUGCGCCGUAUUAGCUAGUUGGUAAGGUAACGGCUUACCAAGGCAACGAUACGUAGCCGACGUGAGAGGGGGGUCGGCCACACUGGAACUGAGACACGGUCCAGACUCCUGCGGGAGGCAGCAGUAGGGAAUCUUCCGCAAUGGGCGAAAGCCUGACGGAGCAACGCCGCGUGAGUGAUGAAGGUCCUCGGAUCGUAAAACUCUGUUAUUAGGGAAGAACAAACGUGUAAGUAACUGUGCACGUCUUGACGGUACCUAAUCAGAAAGCCACGGCUAACUACGUG
Molecule: ribosomal RNA, 497 nt
Filed under: uncultured bacterium
Lineage: Bacteria
Description: partial 16S ribosomal RNA
Rfam family: Bacterial small subunit ribosomal RNA
Source: RNAcentral